Molecule: long non-coding RNA, 1648 nt
Organism: Equus asinus (donkey)
Lineage: Eukaryota; Metazoa; Chordata; Mammalia; Perissodactyla; Equidae
Source: Ensembl
ACUGUGGGAGAAAUCUUUCUAACACACAGGAGGAAAGGAGGAAAGAAACCAGCCUCUCAAAGCUGUGGGCUGUGGCAGGACCGUGAUGGUUAUCUUCCUGGGCGAUCAUCAACAUCCCCUAAAGGUGGAAUGACUGGCUCAGCUGAAUGGGCCAGGGAACAUGAAUCUGAAAUCAAAACGCUGGUUGAAGGGCACAGUCUAUGAGGAGAGGCAGCGGAUGUAUGUGGACAAUCACAUGUGCCGGGGUGUAAGUUUGGUUCAUUUGGAAGUGAGAGCAGCUGAAUCUCCUUGUUGCUCAGUGAUCAACACAUCUUCUGGGAAAACCAUCCCGUUUCAGACAACUUCCAGCCUGAGGACUCGGCAGGACUCUCUCCCUCUCACAUAAUUUCACUUCCUUAGCGUGUCACUGGACGAGCAGCGUCAGCCUCCUGUGGAGCUCAUUAGAAAUGCGGGCUCUCAGGCUCCAUUGCAGACCUGUGGCAUCAGAAUCUGCUUUUUAGUAGGAUUCCAAGUUCUAGGUUAGUCAAGCCCUGGUUUUCCUGUUUGAAGCCUCAGCAGGAAUUCUGCUUCUUUUCUUCUGUCCUUUGGCUGAUCUUUUUGGCUGAUUGACAGCAACUCUGCCACAGGCACAGUCUGACGCAGGCCUGGUUAGCAGAGGUCUCCCUGAGAGGGAUCUCAUUGUUGUGAUCUACAGGAGCCAGGAAGAGGAACCAGCCCUCGGAGGGAGCUGGUCAGCUGGGGCCGUGACAACAGGCUGCACUCAAAGGAACAGGUCCCCUUCAGCUCCAAAAGAUUGGCGUCAUCUGAGAAUGUGGACCCAGCGUGGGCAGAUUUUUCUAGUGUCUAGAAGUGACUGUGCAAACCCAAAACAAAACUAAAAAGACAUAUUUGUGGGCCACCAAGAACCUCUGGUAUGAAGUAAAUUAUACAGGCAUUGGACAGUAACAACCCAUCCAAGGGAGCUGUGGGCGGAGGUGUGGCAUCUGCUCAUUCCUGUCGUAGGGAGGUGAGCUCUACCACGGGGCAGUGGAGUGAACAAUGCCCGGAGAUUAUCCAAAACCCUUUGCUUUAAUUUUCCGCUUACCCAACAGACUUCUAAUUCAGGUUUACAACAAAGUUUAAAACCAGCAAGGGGGGGAUCUGGAUAAGGCACUAUACCUAUUUCGGUCCCCAGAAAGGGCUAUUCCUGCAUAUCAAUAAAUCAGCAUUCUGAUUUCCUACUGACCUCUUUGCUGAGUUUGUCUGCCUUGUAGAGCUUUGGGCAGCUCUGGGUAAGCUAACGAAAUAAAAUUCUGGUGCUGAAAAGCUGUUUGUGACCCUGAUCAACAGUGACCUAGGUUUGGUCACUGCUCCCUCUCCAGACACCAACCAGUGGGCCAUCUCUCUGUGAAUGUGGCAGGCACCAUUUUGCUGGGGAAGGAGGUUAAAUCUUUAGCCUUGUCAUUGACUCAGCUUUGUAAUUCAAGACUCUUUUCUCUCAUCCUUUGAUUUUCAGCCCCCAGACUUUUCUCUCCAUGUCCUUGCCCCCCGGCACUUCCAAUUGUCUAGCACCUAAGUGUAUUUGGGCAUUCCCUGUCUUCCCAAAUUAUCUUUACUCUUCUUCCUUACUUCUUCAUCCUUCUCUUGUUUUAUUCCUUUCAUUACUUUU